Molecule: ribosomal RNA, 460 nt
Filed under: uncultured bacterium
Lineage: Bacteria
Description: partial 16S ribosomal RNA
Rfam family: Bacterial small subunit ribosomal RNA
Source: RNAcentral
CCUACGGGAGGCAGCAGUGAGGAAUAUUGGUCAAUGGACGAGAGUCUGAACCAGCCAAGUAGCGUGAAGGAUGACUGCCCUAUGGGUUGUAAACUUCUUUUAUAUGGGAAUAAAAUGUUCCACGUGUGGGCUUUUGUAUGUACCAUAUGAAUAAGGAUCGGCUAACUCCGUGCCAGCAGCCGCGGUAAUACGGAGGAUCCGAGCGUUAUCCGGAUUUAUUGGGUUUAAAGGGAGCGUAGGUGGAUUGUUAAGUCAGUUGUGAAAGUUUGCGGCUCAACCGUAAAAUUGUAGUUGAAACUGGCAGUCUUGAGUACAGUAGAGGUGGGCGGAAUUCGUGGUGUAGCGGUGAAAUGCUUAGAUAUCACGAAGAACUCCGAUUGCGAAGGCAGCUCACUGGACUGCAACUGACACUGAGGCUCGAAAGUGUGGGUAUCAAACAGGAUUAGAUACCCGUGUAGUC